CAGUGACUGAACCAGUUAAACGGCCGCGGUAUUCUAACCGUGCAAAGGUAGCGCAAUCACUUGUCUUUUAAAUGAAGACCCGUAUGAAUGGCACAACGAGGGCUUAACUGUCUCCUUUUUUCGGUCAAUGAAAUUGAUCCCCCCGUGCAGAAGCGGGGAUAUUUACAUAAGACGAGAAGACCCUAUGGAGCUUUAGACGCAAACCAGACUCCGUCACUUACUCCAAAAUUAAAUGGACCAAACCAAGAAGGCCCUGUUCUUACGUCUUCGGUUGGGGCGACCAUGGGGUAAUAAAAAACCCCCACGUGGACUGGGAGCUCAACCCUUCUCUUUACCCCUCCUCCCAAAAUUUUAGAGCUACAGCUCUUACUCAACAGAAUUUCUGACCAAAAAUGAUCCGGCAAUGCCGAUCAACGGACCAAGUUACCCUAGGGAUAACAGCGCAAUCCCC
RNAcentral lists this ribosomal RNA (451 nucleotides) under Polydactylus approximans. Its description in RNAcentral is "partial 16S ribosomal RNA". It matches the Rfam family "Bacterial large subunit ribosomal RNA", at positions 1864 to 2490 of the family's 2925-position model. Lineage: Eukaryota; Metazoa; Chordata; Actinopteri; Polynemidae. The record is from RNAcentral.